CAGUAACAUCUUUAAACUGCAUAGUGUUAAUUUAAAGAAUCAGAACAUCAUCUUUUUUUUUAAUAUAUUGCUUUUCAUUUCAUUGCCAAUGAAGUUGAAUAAGGAUAUUUAUUUUCUGAACAUCAGAAGAUUUGCAGACAAAUGAUUUGAGUAAAAUCUGAGCAAGUUAGAAAAUGUUUAUUUCUUAGUUUUUUCAGAAGAAGUUUUGUUUUGUUUUGUUUUGUUUUGUUUUGUUUGAGACAAGGUCUUACUGUGUUGCCCAGGUUGGAGUGCACUGACGCAAUCUCAGCUCACUGCAACCUCCGCCUCCUGGGUUCAAGCGAUUCUCCUGUCUCAGCCUCCCCUAGUGGCUGGGAUUACAGGCACCUGCCACCGCACCUGGCUAAGUUAUCUGUAGAUGACAUUUCACCUGAAGAAGUUGGUGGUAACCCUUACCCAUAACCAAACUUAGGAUUUUUAGAUAUGGGAAAAGCAAGUAUGAUGACUUACAAAGCUCUGCCUUAAAGGGUAAUACAUUGGUUUAAUCAGGUUUACUCCACAACAGGGAAUUCAGGUAGCUUAGUUUUAUAUCUUCUUUGAGUCUAAUUACAGUCUUUGAGUUGAGGAGUUAGUAGCAUUUUUUUUCCAGCCAAAAUUCCCAGUUGAUCUUUCUUCUUAAUUCUCCAGUGUUCACUAGAUUUGAAAUUCUGCCCUGCUUGCCCAUGGUGCUUUGUCUUAUGGUAGUCUCAUUCUCCAAAAUCAUUUAUCUUGAACCUCAGUGUGACUUGUCUUUCCAGAUCUCUGCCUUUGUCUGAUCUCUGAAACACCAAAGGUCUUCCUUUCCUUUCAAACUUUCCUUGUGACCAGAGUCACAAACGUUGCUGUGCUCUGAGAUGGUUGGUUGGAAACCAGCCCAAGCUGCAUUUGGCACAGUAUACACCAGUGAAGACAGGUUGCCAGGAUGAAGCCAUAGGCUGUCUCACAGUUACAGAUGAACCGCUUCCUGCCCCCAGGUUCCCCUUCUACUGAUGUAACUAAGGUCUCUAACCCAGAACUCCCUAGGCAAUCCGCUAUAGCACCAUUACCGAUGGUUGAUGGACAUGCCAAGGUAUUGACCUCUUAAGCCAGUAGUGGCUGGUUAGAGCUUGGCAAAGGAGCAGCCCCCUCAGUUUAUCUCAGUGUGCCAUACAAAUAAUAUUUUCUGUGGAUGUUACAGUGUGAAAAAGGGUGGGAAGUAGUGCCCUGUUGAGCCAUAUUAGAGCCCCAGGCAAAAGAAAAAAAUGUGCAUUCCUGUAUAUUUUUUCUUCUUUAAUGGCUAAGUUUUUUUCCAGAAUAUUAAAGUAGUUGAAAAAAUAGUGAAAAAAAAAAAAA
RNAcentral lists this small RNA (1350 nucleotides) under Pan troglodytes (chimpanzee). RNAcentral's name for it is "sense intronic". Lineage: Eukaryota; Metazoa; Chordata; Mammalia; Primates; Hominidae. The record is from RNAcentral.